This 1192-nucleotide long non-coding RNA is filed under the name Populus trichocarpa (black cottonwood). RNAcentral's name for it is "long non-coding RNA (PTRI_LNC001611)". The record is from RNAcentral. Lineage: Eukaryota; Viridiplantae; Streptophyta; Magnoliopsida; Malpighiales; Salicaceae.
GUUUACAAAUAUCUCCUACGCUUCCAGUUCCCACUGCACAGGCAUUUCUGUCCCAAGUCCAAACCAUGGAACGCUUACCUCUGCUCUGUCCCAAGUCCAAACCAUGGAACGCUUACCUCUGCUCUUUCUCCUCCUCCUUACAGCCCUAUCCUCCACCCUAGCAUCCACAGUAUCUUCCAGCGAUCUCGACGAUCCUUUAAUCAGGCAAGUCGUGUCAGAGGGCGAGGAUCAUCUCCUCAACGCAGAGCAUCAUUUCACCACUUUCAAGUCCAAAUUCGGCAAAAAUUAUGCGACUCAAGAGGAACAUGAUUACCGAUUUAGUGUUUUCAAAGCUAAUCUCCUCCGUGCCAAGAAACACCAGAUAAUGGACCCUACCGCUGCCCAUGGCGUCACUAAAUUCUCUGAUCUUACUCCCAAAGAAUUCCGCCGCCAGCUCCUUGGAUUGAAGCGGCGGCUUCGGUUGCCGACGGAUGCUAACAAGGCGCCGAUCCUUCCUACUGGCGAUCUUCCUACUGAUUUUGACUGGCGUGACCACGGUGCCGUUACUAGCGUCAAAGACCAGGUAUCUUAUCUUAAUAUCCUUUUUCCUGGCUUUUACUGUCAAGCAUCAUCGGACCAGUACUUUUCAUGUCUGUCGAGCUUUUCGAUAUUUUAUGUUGUGCUAUGUGUUAAAAGAUUGGGAUUUCGAUAGGGAUCGUGUGGAUCGUGCUGGUCGUUUAGUGCUACAGGGGCAUUGGAAGGAGCUCAUUACUUAGCAACAGGAGAGCUUGUAAGCUUGAGCGAGCAACAGCUUGUGGAUUGUGAUCACGAGGUUUGACUUCCUUAUUUUCAUGCUCUUGAUUCAGUCUUUCUUUCAUUUAUAACUAAUAUUAAUUUUUAUGGAUUAUUAGCAGUAGUUGUGAUUCUUGUAGUCGUACAUGGUCUGGGAAUUUGUCAAGUGCCUGGAAGACUACGAGUCUACGAGGGUUUUGAUUUUUUUAACAUGAAAAAUGGAUUUUCUUUUUUAAAAAAAGCUUAUUCAUUUUCUAUCAAAGGAAAUACGAAAAUUUAGUUACUGUGCUAUGAUUCCUCGUUAUGGUGUCCUAUUGGAACCGUUACAGUGUGAUCCAGAAGAAUAUGGUGCCUGUGACUCGGGCUGCAGUGGUGGGCUGAUGAACAAUGCCUUUGAGUACGCACUGAAGGCCGGUGGUCU